Molecule: unclassified non-coding RNA, 550 nt
Filed under: Fusarium equiseti
Lineage: Eukaryota; Fungi; Ascomycota; Sordariomycetes; Hypocreales; Nectriaceae
Description: sequence contains 18S rRNA gene, ITS1, 5.8S rRNA gene, ITS2, 28S rRNA gene
Rfam family: 5.8S ribosomal RNA (bases 192-345)
Source: RNAcentral
UCGUAACAAGGUCUCCGUUGGUGAACCAGCGGAGGGAUCAUUACCGAGUUUACAACUCCCAAACCCCUGUGAACAUACCUAUACGUUGCCUCGGCGGAUCAGCCCGCGCCCCGUAAAACGGGACGGCCCGCCCGAGGACCCUAAACUCUGUUUUUAGUGGAACUUCUGAGUAAAACAAACAAAUAAAUCAAAACUUUCAACAACGGAUCUCUUGGUUCUGGCAUCGAUGAAGAACGCAGCAAAAUGCGAUAAGUAAUGUGAAUUGCAGAAUUCAGUGAAUCAUCGAAUCUUUGAACGCACAUUGCGCCCGCCAGUAUUCUGGCGGGCAUGCCUGUUCGAGCGUCAUUUCAACCCUCAAGCUCAGCUUGGUGUUGGGACUCGCGGUAACCCGCGUUCCCCAAAUCGAUUGGCGGUCACGUCGAGCUUCCAUAGCGUAGUAAUAAUACACCUCGUUACUGGUAAUCGUCGCGGCCACGCCGUAAAACCCCAACUUCUGAAUGUUGACCUCGGAUCAGGUAGGAAUACCCGCUGAACUUAAGCAUAUCAAUAA